ACGGCUCAGUAACACGUGGAUAACCUACCCAAGUGUCCGGGAUAACCCCGGGAAACUGGGGAUAAUACCGGAUAGAUCAAGCUUGCUGGAAGGCUGUUUGGUUGAAACCUCCGGGGCGUUUGGAUGGGUCUGCGGCUGAUUAGGUUGUUGCCGGUGUAACGUACCGUCAAGCCUGUAAUCAGUACGGGUUGUGGGAGCAAGAGCCCGGAGAUGGAUUCUGAGACACGAAUCCAGGCCCUACGGGGCGCAGCAGGCGCGAAAACUCUACAAUGCAGGCAACUGCGAUAGGGGAACAUCGAGUGAUCCUCAUAUUGGGGGUCUGUCCACCCGCCUAAAAAGCGGGUGUUAGCAAGGGCCGGGCAAGACCGGUGCCAGCCGCCGCGGUAAUACCGGCGGCUCGAGUGGUGGCCGAUAUUAUUGAGUCUAAAGGGUCCGUAGCCGGCUUUGCAAGUCUCUCGGGAAAUCCAGCGGCUUAACCGUUGGUCGUCCGGGGGGUACUACAUUGCUUGGGACUGGGAGAGGUAGGAGGUACUCAGGGGGUAGGAGUGAAAUCCUGUAAUCCUUUGGGGACCACCGGUGGCGAAGGCGUCCUACCAGAACAGGUCCGACGGUGAGGGACGAAAGCUAGGGGCACGAACCGGAUUAGAUACCCGGGUAGUCCUAGCCGUAAACGAUGCUCGCUAGGUGUCACAACAGUCGUGAACUGUUGUGGUGCCGUAGGGAAGCCGUGAAGCGAGCCACUUGGGAAGUACGACCGCAAGGUUGAAACUUAAAGGAAUUGGCGGGGGAGCAC
Molecule: ribosomal RNA, 793 nt
Filed under: uncultured archaeon
Lineage: Archaea
Description: bacterial SSU rRNA
Rfam family: Archaeal small subunit ribosomal RNA
Source: RNAcentral